GACUGGUGACAGAGUGAGAGAGGGGGUGACUAGUGACAGAGUGAAAGAGGGGGUGACUGUCACUAGUCACCCCAUCCCUCACUCUGUCACUAGUCACCCCCUCUCUCACUCUAUCACUAGUCAC
Pelobates cultripes (western spadefoot toad) is the source of this 124-nucleotide non-coding RNA. NCBI's taxonomy places the organism in Eukaryota, Metazoa, Chordata, Amphibia, Anura, Pelobatidae. The record is from the annotation of a GenBank genome assembly.